Molecule: ribosomal RNA, 432 nt
Filed under: uncultured bacterium
Lineage: Bacteria
Description: partial 16S ribosomal RNA
Rfam family: Bacterial small subunit ribosomal RNA
Source: RNAcentral
AACGAACGCUGGCGGCAUGCCUAACACAUGCAAGUCGAACGAGACCUUCGGGUCUAGUGGCGCACGGGUGCGUAACGCGUGGGAACCUGCCCUUAGGUUCGGAAUAACUCCCCGAAAGGGGUGCUAAUACCGGAUAAUGUCUUCGGACCAAAGAUUUAUCGCCUUUGGAUGGGCCCGCGUUGGAUUAGCUAGUUGGAGGGUAAAAGCCUACCAAGGCGACGAUCCAUAGCUGGUCUGAGAGGAUGAUCAGCCACACUGGGAUUGAGACACGGCCCAGACUCCUACGGGAGGCAGCAGUGGGGAAUAUUGGACAAUGGGCGAAAGCCUGAUCCAGCAAUGCCGCGUGAGUGAUGAAGGCCUUAGGGUUGUAAAGCUCUUUUACCCGGGAUGAUAAUGACAGUACCGGGAGAAUAAGCUCCGGCUAACUCCGUG